Molecule: ribosomal RNA, 483 nt
Filed under: uncultured bacterium
Lineage: Bacteria
Description: partial 16S ribosomal RNA
Rfam family: Bacterial small subunit ribosomal RNA
Source: RNAcentral
AUUGAACGCUGGCGGCAGGCCUAACACAUGCAAGUCGAGCGGAUGAAGGGAGCUUGCUCCUGGAUUCAGCGGCGGACGGGUGAGUAAUGCCUAGGAAUCUGCCUGGUAGUGGGGGAUAACGUCCGGAAACGGGCGCUAAUACCGCAUACGUCCUGAGGGAGAAAGUGGGGGAUCUUCGGACCUCACGCUAUCAGAUGAGCCUAGGUCGGAUUAGCUAGUUGGUGGGGUAAAGGCCUACCAAGGCGACGAUCCGUAACUGGUCUGAGAGGAUGAUCAGUCACACUGGAACUGAGACACGGUCCAGACUCCUACGGGAGGCAGCAGUGGGGAAUAUUGGACAAUGGGCGAAAGCCUGAUCCAGCCAUGCCGCGUGUGUGAAGAAGGUCUUCGGAUUGUAAAGCAAUUUAAGUUGGGAGGAAGGGCAGUAAGUUAAUACCUUGCUGUUUUGACGUUACCAACGGAAGAAGCACCGGCUAACUUCGU